RNAcentral lists this ribosomal RNA (254 nucleotides) under uncultured bacterium. RNAcentral's name for it is "partial 16S ribosomal RNA". It matches the Rfam family "Bacterial small subunit ribosomal RNA", at positions 524 to 776 of the family's 1533-position model. The record is from RNAcentral.
UACGUAGGGGGCGAGCGUUGUCCGGAUUUAUUGGGCGUAAAGAGCUCGUAGGCGGUUCGGUAAGUCGAAUGUGAAAUCUCCACGCUCAACGUGGAGGGGUCAUUCGAAACUGCCGUGACUUGAGUACGGUAGGGGAGUGUGGAAUUCCCGGUGUAGCGGUGAAAUGCGCAGAGAUCGGGAGGAACACCCGUAGCGAAGGCGGCACUCUGGGUCGAUACUGACGCUGAGGAGCGAAAGCGUGGGGAGCAAACAGG